Long non-coding RNA from Oncorhynchus tshawytscha (Chinook salmon), 416 nucleotides. Lineage: Eukaryota; Metazoa; Chordata; Actinopteri; Salmoniformes; Salmonidae. The record is from Ensembl.
CUUAGCAGAGGUAGCAUCAACACGACAGACUUAGCGGAGGUAGCAUCAACACGACAGACUUAGCGGAGGUAGCAUCAACACGACAGACUUAGCAGAGGUAGCAUCAACACGACAGACUUAGCAGAGGUAGCAUCAACAUGACAGACUUAGCGGAGGUAGCAUCAACACGACAGACUUAGCAGAGGUAGCAUCAACACGACAGACUUAGCAGAGGUAGCAUCAACACGACAGACUUAGCAGAGGUAGCAUCAACACGACAGACUUAGCAGAGGUAGCAUCAACACGACAGACUUAGCGGAGGUAGCAUCAACACGACAGACUUAGCAGAGGUAGCAUCAACACGACAGACUUAGCAGAGGUAGCAUCAACAUGACAGACUUAGCGGAGGUAGCAUCAACACGACAGACUUAGCGGAG